CCCCCCCCCCCCCCCCCCCCCCCCCCCCCCCCCCCCCCCCCCCCCCCCCCCCCCCCCCCCCCCCCCCCCCCCCCCCCCCCCCCCCCCCCCCCCUCUCACAGAGCUCCGGCCGCCCCGAGCUCCGGCCGCUCCGAGCUCCGCUCUGAUAGAGCUCCGGCCGCUCCGAGCUCCGCUCUGAUAGAGCUCCGGCCGCCCCGAGCCCCGGCCGCUCCGAGCUCCGCUCUCACAGAGCCCCGGCCGCUCCGAGCUCCUCCGGCCGCCCCGGGCUCUGCUGUCACAGAGCUCUGCUAUCACAGAGCUCCGGCCGCUCCGAGCUCCGCUCCCACAGAGCUCCGGCCGGCCCGAGCUCCGCUCCCACAGAGCCCCGGGCACAGAGGAGCGUGUCAGUGCCAGCCUGCCGCGAUGUUUGUAAUGUCAAAACCCAGUAAUUCACCUUAAGGCAAUCCUUGCAUGCCAGCGAUCCCAGGCAUGGUGAAAGAGUCCUGCACACUGCAUCACUGGUGACUUUCUUGCUCCUGUUGGACUUUCCAAACACUGGAAGAGGCUAGGAGAUACUGGGCAGCAUUUCCCUCUCUGAUAAGUAUGUACUGAUUUGGAAAUAGGAUUAAGGGGAUAUAGGGGUAUAAUAUAUAUCCAUAUGUAAUAGGUUGGGGGACUUUAUUUAUUUAUUUUUAAAUUUUAUUUUAUUCUGCCAUAAAUAGGUUGCCACGAGCUUGUGGGAAGACCUGAAUGCAGUGUCAGAGAAGGACUGAUGUGAAGUGGACUAGCUCCAGUCACAGCUGCAAGAGCCAAAUGCAAAUGUUUAAACACUCCUUCCCAGAGGCUGAAGGUAUAUUAUCGGAGCAUUGUAAAAGAAGAGCAAUUCUUUACCAACUCAUGGAAAAACAAUGUGUUUUUGUUCUUGGCCAGAUUCCCCAAAGAGAAUUUAAUUUCAAGACACCACUGACAGUCCGAGAGGAUCCAGCUGCUGGUUGUACCUGGAUUUGAACUCCAGAAGAUAACAGAGCUUUGGUUAAGAGUUUUAGUCACCAUGCACUGUUUCAUCUUGGAAAACACAUACCAAAAGAAAACUGCUCCUAAGUGACUGCAACUGCACAGGUAUCAAAACAUGCCAAUAGCAAGACUAACAUUUCCCAGACCAAAUGUUCAAAACUGUUUCUAUUUUAUCUGAAUAAAAAUACCUGUAUGCUCCUCCAUCCUCCAGCAUGCAAAUCUUAAAAAUACCUUUUCUUGUUUGUCCCCCACAGGGAGCAAUUCAAGUCUACCAAACAGUCUAGCAAAAUAUUAUGAUAACCUUUUCUAUCCUAAUUUGUACUGGAGGCUGUGUGUGUGCUAGGAUCAACAUUAAUUACUGUAU
RNAcentral lists this long non-coding RNA (1357 nucleotides) under Ficedula albicollis (Collared flycatcher). RNAcentral's name for it is "lncRNA (ENSFALG00000024425.1)". The record is from RNAcentral. Lineage: Eukaryota; Metazoa; Chordata; Aves; Passeriformes; Muscicapidae.